GCGUCCAUCGUCUAAUGGAUAGGACAGGGGUCUUCUAAACCUCCGGUAUGGGUUCAAAUCCUAUUGGACGUA
Molecule: transfer RNA, 72 nt
Filed under: Cycas ferruginea
Lineage: Eukaryota; Viridiplantae; Streptophyta; Cycadopsida; Cycadales; Cycadaceae
Also listed under: 2 other names
Description: tRNA-Arg
Rfam family: tRNA
About the family: Transfer RNA (tRNA) molecules are approximately 80 nucleotides in length. Their secondary structure includes four short double-helical elements and three loops (D, anti-codon, and T loops).
Source: RNAcentral